This is a non-coding RNA of Albula goreensis, 69 nucleotides long. The record is from the annotation of a GenBank genome assembly. NCBI's taxonomy places the organism in Eukaryota, Metazoa, Chordata, Actinopteri, Albuliformes, Albulidae.
GCCUGGUUGGUCUAGGGGUAUGAUUACUCCGGAUGCGAAAGGUCCAGGGUUCAAAUCCCGGAAAAGCCC